This 94-nucleotide transfer RNA is filed under the name Cyrtodactylus condorensis. RNAcentral describes it as "tRNA-Cys". Lineage: Eukaryota; Metazoa; Chordata; Lepidosauria; Squamata; Gekkonidae. The record is from RNAcentral.
GCCCGUGAGGUAGAGUACGCUAAAAUGCAAAUUUAGAGACGCACCCGAAGUAGGUGCCGGGGCUUCUCCCGUUUUAAGAGAGAACGGGAGAAGA